RNAcentral lists this ribosomal RNA (783 nucleotides) under Bacillus amyloliquefaciens. RNAcentral's name for it is "bacterial SSU rRNA". It matches the Rfam family "Bacterial small subunit ribosomal RNA", at positions 34 to 799 of the family's 1533-position model. The record is from RNAcentral. Lineage: Bacteria; Bacillati; Bacillota; Bacilli; Caryophanales; Bacillaceae.
CGUCCAGGUUAUGGUACCUCGUACAUGCAAGUUCGGGGGUGAAUGGCUGUUUGCUCCCUGAGUUAGCGGCUGACGGGUGAGUAACACGUGGGUAACCUGCCUGUAAGACUGGGAUAACUCCGGGAAACCGGGGCUAAUACCGGAUGCUUGUUUGAACCGCAUGGUUCAGACAUAAAAGGUGGCUUCGGCUACCACUUACAGAUGGACCCGCGGCGCAUUAGCUAGUUGGUGAGGUAACGGCUCACCAAGGCGACGAUGCGUAGCCGACCUGAGAGGGUGAUCGGCCACACUGGGACUGAGACACGGCCCAGACUCCUACGGGAGGCAGCAGUAGGGAAUCUUCCGCAAUGGACGAAAGUCUGACGGAGCAACGCCGCGUGAGUGAUGAAGGUUUUCGGAUCGUAAAGCUCUGUUGUUAGGGAAGAACAAGUGCCGUUCAAAUAGGGCGGCACCUUGACGGUACCUAACCAGAAAGCCACGGCUAACUACGUGCCAGCAGCCGCGGUAAUACGUAGGUGGCAAGCGUUGUCCGGAAUUAUUGGGCGUAAAGGGCUCGCAGGCGGUUUCUUAAGUCUGAUGUGAAAGCCCCCGGCUCAACCGGGGAGGGUCAUUGGAAACUGGGGAACUUGAGUGCAGAAGAGGAGAGUGGAAUUCCACGUGUAGCGGUGAAAUGCGUAGAGAUGUGGAGGAACACCAGUGGCGAAAGCGACUCUCUGGUCUGUAACUGACGCUGAGGAGCGAAAGCGUGGGGAGCGAACAGGAUUAGAUACCCUGGUAGUCACG